RNAcentral lists this ribosomal RNA (478 nucleotides) under Gammarus nekkensis. Its description in RNAcentral is "bacterial SSU rRNA". It matches the Rfam family "Eukaryotic small subunit ribosomal RNA", at positions 29 to 429 of the family's 1831-position model. The record is from RNAcentral. Lineage: Eukaryota; Metazoa; Arthropoda; Malacostraca; Amphipoda; Gammaridae.
UGCUUGUCUCAAAGAUUAAGCCAUGCAUGUCUAAGUCCAAGCUGUGUUCACACGGCGAGACCGCGGACGGCUCAUUAAAUCAGUCGUGGUCCAAAUGGGCCAGUGCAAAUCCUACUUGGAUAACUGUGGUAAUUCCAGAGCUAAUACAUGCAACUGAUAUCCCGAAGGCGAUGGUUGUGCUUGCUUGUCUUGCGCUCUCACUGCUCUGACGGAUGCUUUUAUUAGACCAAGCCGCUGAGGACUUGAGGGCUUGCUCUCCUGUCUGACUCGUGUAAUGGUGACUCUGGAUAACCAAAUUUCUGACAAGCGCACGUACUUCUCUUCUGAGCGAGACGGCGCUGCCACUUUCGAGUGUCUGCCUUAUCAGCUAUCAACCGUUCGUUAUGCGCGACCGAUGGCUUUGACGGGUAACGGGGAAUCAGGGUUCGAUUCCGGAGAGGCAGCCUGAGAGACGGCUACCACGUCCAAGGACGGCAGC